Molecule: long non-coding RNA, 342 nt
Filed under: Ananas comosus (pineapple)
Lineage: Eukaryota; Viridiplantae; Streptophyta; Magnoliopsida; Poales; Bromeliaceae
Description: long non-coding RNA (ACOM_LNC040745)
Source: RNAcentral
CGCGAAAGCUACAAGAUCAUGGACAACCAGUCCAGAGGUCAAACACACUCAUACACACUGUCCACAGUGGCCCUAGGGUGCACAAUUGCACAAAAGCACCUAUGUUUACAUAAAAUCCAUCAUUUUAUGUAAAUCGGGCGACUUAUAUAGCUUGAUCGCCCAAACCGAGGGCUUCCAAGGUCCGCCGAGACACGUACUGACAGGUCUCGACGUACCGGAGGCCGUGCUCAUGAUCUGGAGCACAAUAGCUCACUGUGGGAAGCGCGGGAGCAACCCGAAGGUUCAGCGAACAGCGCGCAGUCAAGGGAGAUCGCGCCGAACAGGACUAACCAGAGACUGCUG